GGGAUUGUAGUAUAGUGGUCAGUACUUCUCGUUGUGGUUUUUCACAGCGAUCCGAGAGGACCCAGGUUCGAUUCCUGGCAAUCCCA
This 86-nucleotide transfer RNA is filed under the name Sordaria macrospora. It matches the Rfam family "tRNA". From Rfam's summary of the family: Transfer RNA (tRNA) molecules are approximately 80 nucleotides in length. Their secondary structure includes four short double-helical elements and three loops (D, anti-codon, and T loops). RNAcentral also lists the same sequence under 2 other names. The record is from Rfam by way of RNAcentral. Lineage: Eukaryota; Fungi; Ascomycota; Sordariomycetes; Sordariales; Sordariaceae.